GCAUAGAAAUAGUUCUUUAAAAAAUUGGAAGUGCUAUUCCAGCGAACACGCAGAUGAUAAGAAAGUAAAACAGCCAGUAACCCAUGCCAGAGCAAACUGUGUCCCCAAACCAUUGCCUGGCCUCUGUGCCCAUAGGCUGCUGGCACUGAAGUGGCUUGCACAGUG
Small nucleolar RNA from Callithrix jacchus (white-tufted-ear marmoset), 165 nucleotides. The record is from Ensembl. NCBI's taxonomy places the organism in Eukaryota, Metazoa, Chordata, Mammalia, Primates, Cebidae.